GGGGUUGUGGCUCAGUGGUAGAGUGCUUGCCUAGCAUGUGUGAGCCACUGGGUUUGAUUAUCAGCACUGCAUAUAAAUAAAUGAAUAAAAUAAAGGUCCAUCAACAACUAAAAAAAAAGUUAAAAAUAAAUAAAUGAAUAACACUCAGAAAUUUUAAUUAAAAAUGGUAUAUGAUAUAACCGGUAAAUAGACAUUGGAUAAGAAUGAAUUAAUCACCAGAAUUUCAAGUUCAAGUUUACCUCA
Molecule: transfer RNA, 243 nt
Filed under: Marmota monax (woodchuck)
Lineage: Eukaryota; Metazoa; Chordata; Mammalia; Rodentia; Sciuridae
Description: tRNA.Ala
Source: RNAcentral